UAGGGAAUCUUCCACAAUGGGCGCAAGCCUGAUGGAGCAACACCGCGUGAGUGAAGAAGGGUUUCGGCUCGUAAAGCUCUGUUGUUAAAGAAGAACACGUAUGAGAGUAACUGUUCAUACGUUGACGGUAUUUAACCAGAAAGUCACGGCUAGCUACGCGCCAG
RNAcentral lists this ribosomal RNA (164 nucleotides) under uncultured bacterium. RNAcentral's name for it is "partial 16S rRNA". It matches the Rfam family "Bacterial small subunit ribosomal RNA", at positions 355 to 511 of the family's 1533-position model. The record is from RNAcentral.